Molecule: ribosomal RNA, 253 nt
Filed under: uncultured bacterium
Lineage: Bacteria
Description: partial 16S ribosomal RNA
Rfam family: Bacterial small subunit ribosomal RNA
Source: RNAcentral
UACGUAGGGGGCAAGCGUUGUCCGGAUUUAUUGGGCGUAAAGAGCGUGUAGGCGGCCACACAGGUCUGCUGUGAAAACUCGAGGCUCAACCUCGAGCUGUCGGUGGAAACCGUGUGGCUAGAGUCCGGAAGAGGAGAGUGGAAUUCCCGGUGUAGCGGUGAAAUGCGCAGAUAUCAGGAGGAACACCAAUGGCGAAGGCAGCACUCUGGGGCGUGACUGACGCUGAGGAGCGAAAGCGUGGGUAGCGAACAGG